AUUUAAAUAGCUUAUAAAUUAGAGCGUAACAUUGAAGAUGUUAAAGAAAUUUUUAAAAUUUUUAAAUA
RNAcentral lists this transfer RNA (68 nucleotides) under Sabethes cyaneus. Its description in RNAcentral is "tRNA-Phe". It matches the Rfam family "tRNA". From Rfam's summary of the family: Transfer RNA (tRNA) molecules are approximately 80 nucleotides in length. Their secondary structure includes four short double-helical elements and three loops (D, anti-codon, and T loops). The record is from RNAcentral. Lineage: Eukaryota; Metazoa; Arthropoda; Insecta; Diptera; Culicidae.